GUGCACCAGGCGCGAAACCUCCGCAAUGCGGGAAACCGUGACGGGGUCACCCCGAGUGCCACCCGAUGAGGGUGGCUUUUCCCCGGUCUAAAAAGCCGGGGGCAAUAAGCGGGGGCAAGUCUGGUGUCAGCCGCCGCGGUAAUACCAGCCCCGCGAGUGGUCGGGACGUUUAUUGGGCCUAAAGCGUCCGUAGCCGGCUCGGUAAGUCCCUCCUUAAAUCCACGGGCUCAACCCGUGGGCUGGGAGGGAUACUGCCGGGCUAGGGGGCGGGAGAGGCCGAGGGUACUCCCGGGGUAGGGGCGAAAUCCGUUAAUCCCGGGGAGGACCACCAGUGGCGAAGGCGCUCGGCUGGGACGCGCCCGACGGUGAGGGACGAAAGCUGGGGGAGC
This 389-nucleotide ribosomal RNA is filed under the name uncultured microorganism. RNAcentral describes it as "bacterial SSU rRNA". It matches the Rfam family "Archaeal small subunit ribosomal RNA", at positions 330 to 720 of the family's 1478-position model. The record is from RNAcentral.